UCUUCCGUAGUAUAGUGGUCAGUAUAUGAGCUUGUCAAAACCGCCCCCUUAGGGCCCGACUGUCAUCGCUCGGGACCCGGGUUCAAUUCCCGGCGGGAGAG
Molecule: non-coding RNA, 101 nt
Organism: Apodospora peruviana
Lineage: Eukaryota; Fungi; Ascomycota; Sordariomycetes; Sordariales; Lasiosphaeriaceae
Source: the annotation of a GenBank genome assembly